GAUGAACGCUGGCGGCGUGCCUAAUACAUGCAAGUCGAGCGAACAGACGAGGAGCUUACUCCUCUGACGUUAGCGGCGGACGGGUGAGUAACACGUGGAUAACCUACCUAUAAGACUGGGAUAACUUCGGGAAACCGGAGCUAAUACCGGAUAACAUGUUGAACCGCAUGGUGCAACAGUGAAAGACGGUGUUGCGGUCCGGUGUGGAUGGAUCCUCGGCGCAUUAGCUUGUUGGUAGGGUAACGGCUUACCAAGGCAAUGACGCGUAGCCGGCAUGAGAGGGUGACCGGCCACAUUGGGACUGAGGUACGGCCCAGACUCCUACGGGAGGCAGCAGUGGGGAAUAUUGCACAAUGGGCGGAAGCCUGAUGCAGCACCGCCGCGUGCGGGAUGACGGCCUUCGGGUUGUAAACCGCUUUCGCCUGUGACGAAGCGUGAGUGACGGUAAUGGGUAAAGAAGCACCGGCUAACUACGUG
RNAcentral lists this ribosomal RNA (477 nucleotides) under uncultured bacterium. RNAcentral's name for it is "partial 16S ribosomal RNA". It matches the Rfam family "Bacterial small subunit ribosomal RNA", at positions 28 to 507 of the family's 1533-position model. The record is from RNAcentral.